Molecule: long non-coding RNA, 1694 nt
Organism: Sparus aurata (gilthead seabream)
Lineage: Eukaryota; Metazoa; Chordata; Actinopteri; Spariformes; Sparidae
Source: Ensembl
AACAAAAGUAACGUAGUAACUGUAACUGUCUUUGGCAACUUAUAUGAGGAAAACAAAUACUGCAGCUGUAUGUGGAGAAGCGUCUGUCCUCCUGUCUGUCCUCCUGUCUGUCCUCCUGUCUGUCCUACUGACUCUUCCUCACAUGUCUGCUCAAAAAACAGCAUCUGUCACAGGCAAAAAACUUUAACUCACCCAGUGUUUAAUAAAUCACUGCGACCGUCAGCCCUCCGGGCCGAGACUUCAGGGAGCUUUCCCCCAGAAAACAGCCUCCAUCCCCGCGAGUGACAGAGUCAGACAGCGUCCUGUUUACUGAUGGUGAUUAUGUAAUUAUGUCAUUUAGCGCAAAAAAUUUAACUUUGUCACUUUCCAGGAUGUUUGGUGGGUCAGGAUCUCAAUCACUACACAUUAUAACAGCAUCCAUAUGAUUAUAAACUGUCCGCAGGUUUAGAUUGACAGGAGGAACACCUGGGAAACACCGACGUCAUCAACAUGACGUGUACCGUCACGCCUCUUUAGGAGCCGCAGCGCCGGCUUUCUGUGUGAAUUACACACGUGAAGGUGGAGAUGCUUCGCUCUGUGUGAAUCACCAUCGGUGGAGAAAUGGCGAACCACUGCUCCGGAGAUAAUGCGGAGAGGCUGUGUAAAAAGGGCUACAGAUGCAAACUGCAGCUAUCCAUUUGGAAGCCUUGUCGCUUGUAACUCCACCACCACCACCACCUCCAGCUCCUGACAUGACAGCCAGAUUUCACCAGCGACCAUCUGCUCAGCCUUCCACACCACCACCAUCUCCAAUCUGCCAGUGCUACCCGCUAAAUCCCAGUAACCCAGUGAGACCACUCUACCCAGCCACUCGUCAACACCUGCUUACUUGCUCAUCUCCAUCUUUGCCCAUUCACUUCUUGUUCAAAAAAAGCUUUUGUUUUUGCACAGCUUCUCAUGUCUCUGCGUUUGGGUCCAACCAAAACGUCACAGAACAAUCUCGCCCAUAUGGACCCAACAGACAACAUCACGCAAUUUAUGGAUAUAUGUGACAAUUCGUGUUUUACUUUGAAUAUCAACAUGGACAUUAUGGAGAUGCUAGAAGUCAUAGCCAUAUUUAAAAAGGAGCUGGUCUUUAAGCCCUGGUUGCGAGAAACACUGGGAGGAGCGGAACUCAAUUCUUGUGUGGCUAUGUUUGAAAAUCUCCAGUGUUUGCCAGAGUCCCAUCAGCUCCAAUGUUUGGCAGCUUCUAGUCAGCUCCAGGGCCUGCUAGACACCAGCUAGCUAGUCUCCAAUAAGAUCCACUGUUUGCUAAUCCCCAGCCAAAGACCACUGACACCUCCAGCAGGCCCCAAAUGUAUCCUUUCCGGGGAACCUGCCAAGCCCACAGGGUGCCUCAACUGAAAAAGCGAGCCUCCCAACCACAUCCAGACUCUCUAACAUCUGGCUCCCUUGUCUACUGUUCUUCACCACUGUCCAGGUGCUCGUCUUUGCCACUGCCCAGUGGCCCAGGGCCAAACCUGCCCAAGCUCUGCCAUCUCAGCAUCCAUCAGGCUGUGGUUCCAAGUCGCCAUCCAUACUAGCCAUCUGCUCAGCCUUCCACAUCGUCAUCUUCUCCAGUCUACCACUGCUACCAGCUAAAUCCCAGUAACCCGGUGAGACCGCAAUACCCAGCCACUGGUCAUGAACCAUUCGUCCUGCCUGUCUCCAGCUUU